Molecule: non-coding RNA, 196 nt
Filed under: Tenacibaculum mesophilum
Lineage: Bacteria; Pseudomonadati; Bacteroidota; Flavobacteriia; Flavobacteriales; Flavobacteriaceae
Source: RNAcentral
ACAUUUGCCGUGAUUUUUGGUUUUUCUUUAAUCAUCUUAUUAAAGAGAAUUAAAAGGGAAUUCGGUGUAAAACCGAAGCUGUUCCCGCAACUGUAAGCUAUUAAGCUUGUAACAAAUACUCAAACCACUGUUUUUUUAAUGGGAAGGUAUGUUACAAGACGCAAGCCAGGAGACCUGCCAAUUAUUAUAAUUUAAU